Molecule: ribosomal RNA, 901 nt
Filed under: uncultured bacterium
Lineage: Bacteria
Description: bacterial SSU rRNA
Rfam family: Bacterial small subunit ribosomal RNA
Source: RNAcentral
AGAGUUGAUCCUGGCUCAGGAUUAACGCUGGCGGCGUGCAUAACACAUGCAAGUCGAACGAUGAAACUUUAAUGAACCUUUCGGGGAGAAUUAAAGCGGAUUAGUGGCGAACGGGUGAGUAACGCGUGAGUAACCUGCCUUACACAAGGGGAUAGCCUUUGGAAACGAAGAAUAAUACCCUAUAAAACCAUAAAAGCACAUGCAAUUAUGGUCAAAGUAUUAGCGGUGUAAGAUGGACUUGCGUCUGAUUAGCUAGUUGGUGAGAUAAAAGCCCACCAAGGCAACGAUCAGUAGCCGGCUUGAGAGAGUGUACGGCCACAUUGGGACUGAGACACGGCCCAGACUCCUACGGGAGGCAGCAGUGGGGAAUUUUGCACAAUGGGGGAAACCCUGAUGCAGCGACGCCGCGUGAUUUAGAAGGCCUUCGGGUUGUAAAAAUCUUUUGUAUAGGAAGAAAAUGACAGUACUAUACGAAUAAGGUCCGGCUAAUUACGUGCCAGCAGCCGCGGUAAUACGUAAGGACCGAGCGUUGUCCGGAAUCAUUGGGCGUAAAGGGUACGUAGGCGGCUAGAAAAGUUAGAAGUCAAAGGCUAUAGCUCAACUAUAGUAAGCUUCUAAAACUAUUUAGCUUGAGAGAUGGAAGGGAAAGUGGAAUUCCUAGUGUAGCGGUGGAAUGCGCAGAUAUUAGGAGGAAUACCGGUGGCGAAGGCGACUUUCUGGCCAUUUUCUGACGCUGAGGUACGAAAGCGUGGGUAGCAAACAGGAUUAGAUACCCUGGUAGUCCACGCCGUAAACGAUGAGUGUUAGGUGUCUGGAGUCAAAUCUGGGUGCCGCAGCAAACGCAUUAAACACUCCGCCUGGGGAGUACGCACGCAAGUGUGAAACUCAAAGGAAUUGACGG